UGGGGAAUUUUGGACAAUGGGCGAAAGCCUGAUCCAGCAAUGCCGCGUGUGUGAAGAAGGCCUUCGGGUUGUAAAGCACUUUUGUCCGGAAAGAAAUCCUUGGCUCUAAUACAGUCGGGGGAUGACGGUACCGGAAGAAUAAGCACCGGCUAACUACGUGCCAGCAGCCGCGGUAAUACGUAGGGUGCAAGCGUUAAUCGGAAUUACUGGGCGUAAAGCGUGCGCAGGCGGUUUGCUAAGACCGAUGUGAAAUCCCCGGGCUCAACCUGGGAACUGCAUUGGUGACUGGCAGGCUAGAGUAUGGCAGAGGGGGGUAGAAUUCCACGUGUAGCAGUGAAAUGCGUAGAGAUGUGGAGGAAUACCGAUGGCGAAGGCAGCCCCCUGGGCCAAUACUGACGCUCAUGCACGAAAGCGUGGGGGAGCAAACAGGAUUAGAUACCCUGGUAGUCCACGCCCUAAACGAUGUCAACUAGUUGUUGGGGAUUCAUUUCCUUAGUAACGUAGCUAACGCGUGAAGUUGACCGCCU
Molecule: ribosomal RNA, 527 nt
Filed under: uncultured bacterium
Lineage: Bacteria
Description: partial 16S ribosomal RNA
Rfam family: Bacterial small subunit ribosomal RNA
Source: RNAcentral